Molecule: non-coding RNA, 31 nt
Filed under: Mus musculus (house mouse)
Lineage: Eukaryota; Metazoa; Chordata; Mammalia; Rodentia; Muridae
Source: RNAcentral
GAAGAAAAUACCUAAUAAAAAAUAUUAAAAA